RNAcentral lists this ribosomal RNA (889 nucleotides) under Botryosphaeria sinensis. Its description in RNAcentral is "partial large subunit ribosomal RNA". It matches the Rfam family "Eukaryotic large subunit ribosomal RNA", at positions 52 to 965 of the family's 3401-position model. Lineage: Eukaryota; Fungi; Ascomycota; Dothideomycetes; Botryosphaeriales; Botryosphaeriaceae. The record is from RNAcentral.
GGGGGCAGACACAGGGAUUGCCUUAGUAACGGCGAGUGAAGCGGCAACAGCUCAAAUUUGAAAGCUGGCUCCUUUGGAGUCCGCGUUGUAAUUUGUAGAGGAUGAUUCGGCAAGGGCUCCCGCCUAAGUCUCCUGGAACGGAGCGUCAUAGAGGGUGAGAAUCCCGUAUGCGGUGGGCUGCCUAAGCCAUGUGAAUCUCCUUCGACGAGUCGAGUUGUUUGGGAAUGCAGCUCUAAAUGGGAGGUAAAUUUCUUCUAAAGCUAAAUACCGGCCAGAGACCGAUAGCGCACAAGUAGAGUGAUCGAAAGAUGAAAAGCACUUUGGAAAGAGAGUUAAAAAGUACGUGAAAUUGUUGAAAGGGAAGCGCUUGCAGCCAGACUUGUCCGCAGUUGCUCAGCCGGUCUCCUGACCGGUGUACUCUUCUGCGGCCAGGCCAGCAUCAGUUCGGGCGGUCGGAUAAAGACCUCGGGAAUGUAGCUCCUCUCGGGGAGUGUUAUAGCCCGGGGUGGAAUGCGGCCAGCCUGGACUGAGGAUCUCGCUUCGGCUAGGAUGCUGGCGUAAUGGCUGUAAGCGGCCCGUCUUGAAACACGGACCAAGGAGUCUAACAUCUAUGCGAGUGUUUGGGUGUCAAACCCAUGCGCGUAAUGAAAGUGAACGGAGGUGGGAACCCUCACGGGUGCACCAUCGACCGAUCCUGAUGUCUUCGGAUGGAUUUGAGUAAGAGCAUAGCUGUUGGGACCCGAAAGAUGGUGAACUAUGCCUGAAUAGGGUGAAGCCAGAGGAAACUCUGGUGGAGGCUCGCAGCGGUUCUGACGUGCAAAUCGAUCGUCAAAUUUGGGUAUAGGGGCGAAAGACUAAUCGAACCAUCUAGUAGCUGGUUCCUGCCGAG